Molecule: unclassified non-coding RNA, 254 nt
Filed under: uncultured Solirubrobacteraceae bacterium
Lineage: Bacteria; Bacillati; Actinomycetota; Thermoleophilia; Solirubrobacterales; Solirubrobacteraceae
Description: contains 16S-23S intergenic spacer region
Source: RNAcentral
UCCGGUUUGUCACCGGCAGUCUCGCAUGAGUCCCCAACUAAAUGCUGGCAACAUGCGACGGGGGUUGCGCUCGUUGCGGGACUUAACCCAACAUCUCACGACACGAGCUGACGACAGCCAUGCACCACCUGUGAAGGUGCCCCGAAGGGAAGCCGUGUUUCCACGGCGGUCACCUACAUGUCAAGACCAGGUAAGGUUCUUCGCGUUGCGUCGAAUUAAACCACAUGCUCCACCGCUUGUGCGGAGCGUGUGGU